Anastrepha ludens (Mexican fruit fly) is the source of this 838-nucleotide long non-coding RNA. RefSeq lists it as uncharacterized. The transcript has 3 exons. NCBI's taxonomy places the organism in Eukaryota, Metazoa, Arthropoda, Insecta, Diptera, Tephritidae. The record is from RefSeq and is a predicted model, not a curated record.
CGUGCAUUUUUAACGCAUUCAAUAAAUCUUCAUACAUUUUGUACCCACUAACUCAUAACUUACGUAUACUGCAAACAGAUAUUGUACAAUACAUACGUGCAUAUGUAUGUGGAUAGGUAUGCAAGUAAGAAAUAAAUAUUUCGGCAUUUCUUAUGGCUCAAUCCAUAUAUGAAUACGUGCCAGUUUUAUUAAUGAUCGUGGGAAGGGAAUGCGCGAUGACGAUUCGCAGAAGUGAAGCUCUCAAGCACGCUGGCUAAGUGCAGAAACACCUAUGCACGCAUUCGAGUGCCGUACCCUGCACAUAAAUCUAAUUUACUUCAAUAGUGCCAUAAAGAAAAACAAUGUUUUUUAAUAAAUGCGCUCUAGAAAGGCUUGUUGUUGUUGUUGUAGCAGCAUAAAUAUUCCCCAUACAUAUAUAGGAAAUGUUGUUGAAGUGACAGUCCUUGGCCGGAUAUAAAUCCGGGUCGCUCCGCUUACGUAGAACCAACUGUCGUGUGAAGAAAGGCUCUUCAUUUAUGCUGUGCAAAAAAUAAUUUUCAACUACUCUGCGCGCAUCCACGAAAUAUAUUCUCAAUUAUGUGGAAAUUUUACUUUGCAGCAAGCGGUUAAUGAACCAACGGAGCGAGCUUGUGCGUGAUAAUCAUUCAGUUAAUACCAGUUAAUGCCAAACCUCUGAGUACUUUUCUGACGUCAACCAGCUUCGCAAAUAAAUCCAUUUGCCGUUCGCAGGUGGCAUGGAACUGUCGGAAUGCGCGUCACAAAAUGCAGGAAAGGCACGGCCAAAUACCUAAACAAAGGUCAACUUGGUAAAAUACUUAAAAGUACUACUGCUCUCUAU